GGCUGGUGGAAGGUAGUAAGUUAUCUCAGCCAAUGUUCUCACAGGCAGUUACAGAUCCAGCUCCUCCUGCUCUCUCUCCCCUUUCUCACUACUGCACUUGACUAGCCUAAA
Molecule: Y RNA, 111 nt
Filed under: Aotus nancymaae (Ma's night monkey)
Lineage: Eukaryota; Metazoa; Chordata; Mammalia; Primates; Aotidae
Description: Y RNA (ENSANAG00000004800.1)
Rfam family: Y RNA
About the family: Y RNAs are components of the Ro ribonucleoprotein particle (Ro RNP), in association with Ro60 and La proteins.
Source: Rfam by way of RNAcentral